UGCAUUGGCUUACAAUAUCCUUCUACUGUAUUAGAAAUCCUCUGAAGUUUCCAGCCCCCAGAUAAGAAGUGUUACGCACAACACCUGUUGCACACAGCCCACCUCACUGCCUCGGUGACCUAAUGGGGGUGGACCCCUUUUCUGUACAGGAACCUCUACUACCGCAUGGCACGGCCUCCUACUGCACACGGCCCACCUCUCUGCCCAGGUGCCAUAAUGGGGUGGCCCCCUCGCUUGUGACUCAUGUGAUUAUGUAUGCCCUAUCACUAAGCCUAUAGAUGAUGACCUCACACAUGACCCUGCCCCCUGCUUGUACCUAAUAAAUACAGAUGCUUCUGGGCAUUCGGGACCUUGCCUGUCUCCGCUCAUAAGUGGCAUGGCCCCCCGAGUCCAGCUGCUCUUCUCCAUUUCUUCAGUGUCCUGUCUCUUUACUUCUCGGAUCCUGCACCUCAGCAUAGCAUAAGGGACACCCCACAACCCAGUGGGGCCAACAGCCCUACAGUACACAGGUGCUGAGGCAGGAGA
Molecule: long non-coding RNA, 525 nt
Organism: Sapajus apella (tufted capuchin)
Lineage: Eukaryota; Metazoa; Chordata; Mammalia; Primates; Cebidae
Exons: 3
Source: RefSeq, a predicted model, not a curated record